AAAUGAAUUAGUUCAGCAAUGACUUCAAAAUGCAGACAGGGAAAGGCAAAAGGUUUAUUAACAUUAGGACAAAAACCAAAAUAUCAUACAAAAGAAUAAUACUUCGAAGAUAAAAACUUUUGAAAGAUGUCGGUAGAAUAUUAAAUGUAUUACUAGAAGCUGCUAGAAGUAGUCAGAAGAUUCUAGAGAUCUCAUUGUAAUUAUUACUUUAGGGUUAUAGAUCUUGAGGAAUUAUUACUUUAAGGUUAGAGUUCUCAAUAUAUAGAGGUUGAUGUCUUGUUUCAAAUCAAUCAAUUGGAAUAAAAAUCUUCUUUCUUUUAUUAAUCCUUUCAAGUUAGUAUAAAGCUCCCGAUCUUUGGUGGCCUGAACAGUUCCUUUUGGGGUUGCCUGAACAUUUCCUUUAAAAUAUUGAGGUUACUGAAGUGCCACUGAACCUUUGUCAAAACGGUUGUCGAAGCCGUCACCGAACUUUUGUCAGAUCCGUUGUGGAACUUUCAUUGGAGUUGUUGUCUUGCUUCUGCUGGAAUUUUCGCCAGAGCCAUCAGACCUUUUGUGGGAGCUCCAACAAUUGCCAUUGUUGGAAUUGCCGUUGUUAUCACUGCUGUCAUCAUCAAAGCUUUUUGUCUUUAAUUAAGAAGGGCCUAAGGAAUCCCCAUUAUUUUCUUAAAACAUUGCAGCUCCAGUAGGCAACAUUAAUCUUCUAACUUCAUACUACGUGCUAAAGUUGAACAUCUGAAAUCUCUCAUGGAGUCUAUCAGCAAGUUACCUUAUGGUACUUGCUCUCUAGCCAUGAGUGUAAGCACAUCAUUAUUGCCAACGCGACUUGUAUCCCAAUAAUUGGUUGUGGUAAUGUUUCUCUUCUACCAUCCCUCAACCUUAAAGAUGUUCUUUAUAUUCUAAAACUUUCUAAAAAUCUUAUUUUUGUUCAAAAACUUACUAAUGACCUAAAGUGUUGUAUAACCUUUCUUUCCCGCUUCUUGGGUUCUCCAGGAUCUUGCCAUAGGGAGGACAAUUUGGAACAGUUAAGGGACAGGGAGAGUUGUAUUGUUUUAACAACUUGGGAAACACCGUUGGCCACAUAACCUCCUAGUAAUACAAAGAGUAUUACAUGGGGGCCUACGUGAAACUGUAGUAUAUUUAGUGCUAAAUGGUUUGUCAUGUUUAUUGGUGAUUGUACCUCUGUUACAGAAAUUUUGCUCAUGAAAGAAAAAUCUAAAGUUUUUAAUUUA
Long non-coding RNA from Vigna radiata var. radiata (mung bean), 1229 nucleotides. RefSeq lists it as uncharacterized. The record is from RefSeq and is a predicted model, not a curated record. The transcript has 2 exons. NCBI's taxonomy places the organism in Eukaryota, Viridiplantae, Streptophyta, Magnoliopsida, Fabales, Fabaceae.